This is a long non-coding RNA of Dreissena polymorpha, 208 nucleotides long. RefSeq lists it as uncharacterized. The record is from RefSeq and is a predicted model, not a curated record. NCBI's taxonomy places the organism in Eukaryota, Metazoa, Mollusca, Bivalvia, Myida, Dreissenidae. The transcript is spliced from 3 exons.
CCCGCUCAAGGGGUUAGGCGUUUCUGAUAUGUCAGAACGAGGGUAUAGGUUUGUCUGCAUUGGAGCCCGCUCAAGGGGUUAGGCGUUUCUGGUAUGUCAGAACGAGGGUAUAGGUUUGUCUGCAUUGGAACCCGCUCAAGGGGUUAGGCGUUUCUGGUAUGUCAGAACGAGGGUAUAGGUUUGUCUGCAUUGGAGCCCGCUCAAGGGG